RNAcentral lists this signal recognition particle RNA (98 nucleotides) under Lacticaseibacillus pabuli. RNAcentral's name for it is "Lacticaseibacillus sp. KACC 23028 signal recognition particle sRNA small type". The stretch from base 7 to 93 matches the Rfam family "Bacterial small signal recognition particle RNA". Rfam says of the family: The signal recognition particle (SRP) is a universally conserved ribonucleoprotein involved in the co-translational targeting of proteins to membranes. Archaeal SRP consists of a 7S RNA and homologues of the eukaryotic SRP19 and SRP54 proteins. In most bacteria, the SRP consists of a 4.5S RNA and the Ffh protein (a homologue of the eukaryotic SRP54 protein). Lineage: Bacteria; Bacillati; Bacillota; Bacilli; Lactobacillales; Lactobacillaceae. The record is from RNAcentral.
CGCAAGGCCUUGAGGCAAUGGUAGGCUUCUGAACCGUGUCAGAUCCGGAAGGAAGCAGCACUAAGGUUGCAUUACCAUGUGUCUCUUGUUUUUUAGAU